UACGAAGGGGGCUAGCGUUGUUCGGAAUUACUGGGCGUAAAGCGCACGUAGGCGGAUACUUAAGUCAGGGGUGAAAUCCCGGGGCUCAACCCCGGAACUGCCUUUGAUACUGGGUAUCUCGAGUCCGGAAGAGGUGAGUGGAAUUCCGAGUGUAGAGGUGAAAUUCGUAGAUAUUCGGAGGAACACCAGUGGCGAAGGCGGGCUC
This 205-nucleotide ribosomal RNA is filed under the name uncultured bacterium. RNAcentral describes it as "partial 16S ribosomal RNA". It matches the Rfam family "Bacterial small subunit ribosomal RNA", at positions 524 to 727 of the family's 1533-position model. The record is from RNAcentral.